AGUGAACGCUGGCGGUAGGCCUAACACAUGCAAGUCGAACGGCAGCACAGUAAGAGCUUGCUCUUACGGGUGGCGAGUGGCGGACGGGUGAGGAAUACAUCGGAAUCUACUUUUUCGUGGGGGAUAACGUAGGGAAACUUACGCUAAUACCGCAUACGACCUACGGGUGAAAGCAGGGGAUCUUCGGACCUUGCGCGAUUGAAUGAGCCGAUGUCGGAUUAGCUAGUUGGCGGGGUAAAGGCCCACCAAGGCGACGAUCCGUAGCUGGUCUGAGAGGAUGAUCAGCCACACUGGAACUGAGACACGGUCCAGACUCCGACGGGAGGACGCAGUGGGGAAUAUUGGACAAUGGGCGCAAGCCUGAUCCAGCAAUACCGCGUGGGUGAAGAAGGCCUUCGGGUUGUAAAGCCCUUUUGUUGGGAAAGAAAAGCAGCAGGUUAAUACCCCGCUGUUCUGACGGUACCCAAAGAAUAAGCACCGGCUAACUUCGUG
This 492-nucleotide ribosomal RNA is filed under the name uncultured bacterium. RNAcentral describes it as "partial 16S ribosomal RNA". It matches the Rfam family "Bacterial small subunit ribosomal RNA", at positions 29 to 507 of the family's 1533-position model. The record is from RNAcentral.